AUGGCCAAAAAGAAGAAGGCGGCCCGGAACCGGGGCAGGAAUCGUGCGGGCAUGGAGGCGGAGACGGAGGGUUCAGCUGGGCGCGCGCCCCACUUCCACGGACACGGCGCCCCCUUUGACGUCCGCCGCGGCCAAGAAAACGGAGCCCACCCUGGGGGCGCCCGCGCCGGCCAAGAAGCUAUCCCGCCCCAUGGCACAGCACAGAAGAUUGUUGAGCUCCUACGCCGGGCAGAGGCUUUCCUGGGGAGGAACGGCAGCGCCGGCGACGAUACGUCGGACGCCUCCAGCAGCGCCGGCAAUGGCGGCGUGGAGGCUCUGGUGGGCGAACGCUCGCGGGAUCAGCUUCGUGGGCACCAAGGCAAUCACCCACCGCCCAAGCAUCCUACACGGGGUCAGGCUAUUCUGUACACCUUUGGCAACCUGGACAUGAAUAAGAGACACUCUGCCGAGAAGGAAGCGCCCUGA
RNAcentral lists this ribosomal RNA (465 nucleotides) under Triticum aestivum (bread wheat). Its description in RNAcentral is "partial small subunit ribosomal RNA". The record is from RNAcentral. Lineage: Eukaryota; Viridiplantae; Streptophyta; Magnoliopsida; Poales; Poaceae.